ACUCCUACGGGAGGCAGCAGUGGGGAAUAUUGCACAAUGGGCGCAAGCCUGAUGCAGCCAUGCCGCGUGUGUGAAGAAGCUUCCGUUNUGAUGUAACUUUCAGUCGUGAGGAAGGUAGUGUAGUUAAUAGCUGCAUUAUUUGACGUUAGCGACAGAAGAAGCACCGGCUAACUCCGUGCCAGCAGCCGCGGUAAUACGGAGGGUGCGAGCGUUAAUCGGAAUUACUGGGCGUAAAGCGCAUGCAGGUGGUUUGUUAAGUCAGAUGUGAAAGCCCGGGGCUCAACCUCGGAAUUGCAUUUGAAACUGGCAGACUAGAGUACUGUAGAGGGGGGUAGAAUUUCAGGUGUAGCGGUGAAAUGCGUAGAGAUCUGAAGGAAUACCGGUGGCGAAGGCGGCCCCCUGGACAGAUACUGACACUCAGAUGCGAAAGCGUGGGGAGCAAACAGGAUUAGAUA
Molecule: ribosomal RNA, 455 nt
Filed under: uncultured bacterium
Lineage: Bacteria
Description: bacterial SSU rRNA
Rfam family: Bacterial small subunit ribosomal RNA
Source: RNAcentral